This 265-nucleotide ribosomal RNA is filed under the name uncultured Staphylococcus sp. RNAcentral describes it as "partial 16S ribosomal RNA". It matches the Rfam family "Bacterial small subunit ribosomal RNA", at positions 96 to 354 of the family's 1533-position model. Lineage: Bacteria; Bacillati; Bacillota; Bacilli; Caryophanales; Staphylococcaceae. The record is from RNAcentral.
CGGCGGACGGGUGAGUAACACGUGGAUAACCUACCUAUAAGACUGGGAUAACUUCGGGAAACCGGAGCUAAUACCGGAUAAUAUAUUGAACCGCAUGUUCAAUAGUGAAAGACGGUUUUGCUGUCACUUAUAGAUGGAUCCGCGCCGCAUUAGCUAGUUGGUAAGGUAACGGCUUACCAAGGCAACGAUGCGUAGCCGACCUGAGAGGGUGAUCGGCCACACUGGAACUGAGACACGGUCCAGACUCCUACGGGAGGCAGCAGGU